CCAGACUCCUACGGGAGGCAGCAGUGGGGAAUAUUGCACAAUGGGGGAAACCCUGAUGCAGCAACGCCGCGUGAGUGAGGAAGUAUUUCGGUAUGUAAAGCUCUAUCAGCAGGGAAUAGAAAAGAAGGUACCUGAAAAAGAAGCCCCGGCUAACUACGUGCCAGCAGCCGCGGUAAUACGUAGGGAGCAAGCGUUAUCCGGAUUUACUGGGUGUAAAGGGCGUGUAGGCGGGCCUGCAAGUCAGAAGUGAAAUCUGGGGGCUUAACCCCCAAACUGCUUUUGAAACUGUGGGUCUUGAGUGAUGGAGAGGCAGGCGGAAUUCCCAGUGUAGCGGUGAAAUGCGUAGAUAUUGGGAGGAACACCAGUGGCGAAGGCGGCCUGCUGGACAUUAACUGACGCUGAGGCGCGAAAGCGUGGGGAGCAAACAGGAUUAGAUACCCGGGUAA
This 446-nucleotide ribosomal RNA is filed under the name uncultured bacterium. Its description in RNAcentral is "bacterial SSU rRNA". It matches the Rfam family "Bacterial small subunit ribosomal RNA", at positions 331 to 793 of the family's 1533-position model. The record is from RNAcentral.